Molecule: ribosomal RNA, 497 nt
Filed under: uncultured bacterium
Lineage: Bacteria
Description: partial 16S ribosomal RNA
Rfam family: Bacterial small subunit ribosomal RNA
Source: RNAcentral
GAUGAACGCUGGCGGCGUGCCUAAUACAUGCAAGUCGAGCGAACAGAUAAGGAGCUUGCUCCUUUGACGUUAGCGGCGGACGGGUGAGUAACACGUGGGUAACCUACCUAUAAGACUGGGAUAACUUCGGGAAACCGGAGCUAAUACCGGAUAACAUUUUGAACCGCAUGGUUCUAAAGUGAAAGAUGGUUUUGCUAUCACUUAUAGAUGGACCCGCGCCGUAUUAGCUAGUUGGUAAGGUAACGGCUUACCAAGGCAACGAUACGUAGCCGACCUGAGAGGGUGAUCGGCCACACUGGAACUGAGACACGGUCCAGACUCCUACGGGAGGCAGCAGUAGGGAAUCUUCCGCAAUGGGCGAAAGCCUGACGGAGCAACGCCGCGUGAGUGAUGAAGGGUUUCGGAUCGUAAAACUCUGUUAUUAGGGAAGAACAAAUGUGUAAGUAACUGUGCACGUCUUGACGGUACCUAAUCAGAAAGCCACGGCUAACUACGUG